GUCUUGCCACCCCAGAUGAUUGAGUAAUAUAUAAAGACAUUAUAUAUAUAUAUAUAUAUAUAUAUAUAUAUAUAUAUAUAUAUAUAUAUAUAUAUAUAUAUAUUAUGUGUUUAUAUAUUACUCAGUCAUCUGGGGUGGUAACGU
Molecule: non-coding RNA, 144 nt
Organism: Pelobates cultripes (western spadefoot toad)
Lineage: Eukaryota; Metazoa; Chordata; Amphibia; Anura; Pelobatidae
Source: the annotation of a GenBank genome assembly